RNAcentral lists this ribosomal RNA (274 nucleotides) under uncultured bacterium. Its description in RNAcentral is "partial 16S ribosomal RNA". It matches the Rfam family "Bacterial small subunit ribosomal RNA", at positions 523 to 796 of the family's 1533-position model. The record is from RNAcentral.
AUACGGAGGGUGCAAGCGUUAAUCGGAUUUACUGGGCGUAAAGCGUACGUAGGCGGUUUGAUAAGUCAGAUGUGAAAGCCCCGGGCUCAACCUGGGAACUGCAUUUGAAACUGUCAGACUAGAGUUUGGUAGAGGGUAGUAGAAUUCCUGGUGUAGAGGUGAAAUGCGUAGAUAUCAGGAGGAAUACCAGUGGCGAAGGCGGCUACCUGGACCAAAACUGACGCUGAGGUACGAAAGCGUGGGGAGCAAACAGGAUUAGAAACCCCAGUAGUCC